Lytechinus variegatus (green sea urchin) is the source of this 1226-nucleotide long non-coding RNA. RefSeq lists it as uncharacterized. The record is from RefSeq and is a predicted model, not a curated record. Lineage: Eukaryota; Metazoa; Echinodermata; Echinoidea; Temnopleuroida; Toxopneustidae. The transcript is spliced from 3 exons.
UUUCACUCUUCUUAUGCCAACUUUGUCUUAGAACUUUUUUUUCCUCUCUGCCAUUGGCCAAUUGUUGCUGCCUUCUCUUUGUUCAUUGGUCAAUUAUUUCCCCCCUUUUCAGGGGUGUCACUAAUGCUUAAUUCAGGUACCCCUUUUAGGAAUUGCUUUGUACUUGGAUGUGCACCACUGCACUUCUUUUGUUAUUAGCCAGGGAGAGUGUUCAGUGACUCAUGACAAUUGCACUAGCAGGGGGUUCUUGAGGCUGUAUGUUGUUAGAGGGGGAUGCCUGCAGAAGAAGUUUAAAUUUUAGUUGUCAAGGACUUUUGCAAGUACUCCCCUUCUGUCAUUCCGAUUGCCAAAGAAAAUGGUGUAUUAGUGUUCUAGCCGAGGCUGUUUUGUUUUUAGUGACGCCCAAUGAUAGAACAGGAAACCUCAGCCCUGGUGUCCAUGUUGUGUGGUCGACGGAGUGAUUCCUUUCACCAAAGUGAACAAAUUUUAAAGGUUAGAAUCAGUAAUCUCGAGAAACACAGAGAGGGGAAAAGCUUGACAGUUUCGUCAAAGAAAGAUAAAAGUUAAGAUUGAUCAUGACAGUCACCCUAGAUUUUCAUUGGAAUGGAGGAAUGAAGGAGUGAAGAUUCAAGUGAAUACAAGCCGGCAUUUCUCCAAAGAACUUUGUUUCUGCUUGUUUUGAACCCGACUCCAAUCUCAACUACACACUCCUCGCCCAAAUCCAUCUCUGUAUAAAGGUGUCUGCAUGAGAGGCAAAAUACGCUUCAGCAAAACCGUGCAUCAAAAUGUGCUUCAGAAGACUUUCUACAGAACUUCGUGACUCUAUAUUUACUGAGAUUUAUUAUCAUCAAGGACUUGAGAUGCUGAAUUGCUUAACUUAUUUUUAUUCGACAGAAAAACUCUUCACUUUUCAUCUGCUCGAGAAACAUCAUUUUCACUGGAGAACUUCGCCGAGAUUAACCAAAUCUCAUGCGAGGUUUGUUGAUGGGUCUUUGGUCGGUUGUUCUACCCUUCAUCUGUCGAUUUGAACUCAAUAAUUUGGUGAACAUUUGCGGACAGACAUGUUUGUGGACCUUUGGAAGGAGACUUUUUCACUGGAUCUUGAAAUGGAAAUAUGUUUUUGUGCUUAUGUUGAUUGGACAUGGAUACAGAUGGGAAUGCUGAGACUGAACAAAAGUUCCUGUAUGAGUGAGUCCUUUUACCCGCAGACCAGUACAGCAAUAUCA